This 60-nucleotide microRNA precursor is filed under the name Patiria miniata (bat star). RNAcentral describes it as "Pmi-Mir-2002_pre stem-loop". Lineage: Eukaryota; Metazoa; Echinodermata; Asteroidea; Valvatida; Asterinidae. The record is from RNAcentral.
AGGGCCAACAGAGUGUUCCCAUGUGAAUAAAUCAAUGUGAAUACAUCUGCUGGUUCCAUU